AGAACGAACGCUGGCGGCAUGCCUAACACAUGCAAGUCGAACGCUUUUGGGGCUUCGGUCCCAAAGGAGUGGCGCACGGGUGGGUAGCGCGUGGGAACCUGCCCUGGAGUGGGGGAUAACCGAGGGAAACUUCGGCUAAUACCGCAUACGCCGGGAAACCGGGAAGAUUUAUCGCUCUAGGAGGGGCCCGCGUCGGAUUAGGUAGUUGGUGGGUAACGGCCUACCAAGCCUGUGAUCCGUAGCUGGUCUGAGAGGAUGAUCAGCCACACUGGGACUGAGACACGGCCCAGACUCCUACGGGAGGCAGCAGUGGGGAAUAUUGGACAAUGGGCGCAAGCCUGAUCCAGCAAUGCCGCGUGAGUGAUGAAGGCCUUCGGGUUGUAAAGCUCUUUCGCACGCGAGGAUGAUGACGCUAGCGUGAGAAGAAGCCCCGGCUAACUUCGUGCCAGCAGCCGC
RNAcentral lists this ribosomal RNA (456 nucleotides) under uncultured bacterium. RNAcentral describes it as "SSU rRNA". It matches the Rfam family "Bacterial small subunit ribosomal RNA", at positions 26 to 518 of the family's 1533-position model. The record is from RNAcentral.